AAGUCGUAACAAGGUUUCCGUAGGUGAACCUGCGGAAGGAUCAUUAUUGAAUAAACCUGGCUGGUUGUCGCUGGCUCUUCGGAGCAUUGUGCACACUUGCCUUGAUUUAUCUUCAUCCACCUGUGCACACUCUGUAGUCUCGAGGUUGUCGAUGGGUUUCUGUCGGAGGAGGAUCUGCUCAUGCCGCUAUCUUCCUUGCCUCUGAGACUAUGUGUCUUUCCAUACACCCAUGUAGUCUGUCGCAGAAAUGUAAUCAUUGGGCCUUUGUGCCUAUAUAUAAUCACUAUACAACUUUCAAGCAACGGAUCUCUUGGCCCUCGCAUCGAUGAAGAACGCAGCGAAAUGCGAUAAGUAAUGUGAAUUGCAGAAUUCAGUGAAUCAUCGAAUCUUUGAACGCACCUUGCGCUCCUUGGUAUUCCGAGGAGUAUGCCUGUUUGAGUGUCAUUAAAUUCUCAACCCCUUCAGCUUUAGUGGCUGACUAGGUGGCUUGGAUUGUUGGGGGUCCUGCCGGCUGUCUUUGCAGUCAGCUCCCCUGAAAUGCAUUAGCGGAACCGUUUGCGAUCCGUCACCGGUGUGAUAAUUAUCUACGCCAACGACAAUGGAUGCUUUCUGUCUGUUCAGCUUCUAACUGUCUUCUCUGUGGGACAAACUCAUUUGAAAACUUGACCUCAAAUCAGGUAGGACUACCCGCUGAACUUAA
Molecule: ribosomal RNA, 700 nt
Filed under: uncultured fungus
Lineage: Eukaryota; Fungi
Description: eukaryotic LSU rRNA
Rfam family: 5.8S ribosomal RNA (bases 290-444)
Source: RNAcentral